Molecule: non-coding RNA, 1354 nt
Organism: Anolis sagrei ordinatus
Lineage: Eukaryota; Metazoa; Chordata; Lepidosauria; Squamata; Anolidae
Source: RefSeq, a predicted model, not a curated record
CUGAACAUGACUCCAGCACCACAGCCGCGCCCGGAUGCAAGGCGUGAGGACCCCCUUCGAGUGGAGUCCUAUGAAUCCUGGUGCACCUUUAAUAACCCAUCAGCAGAGGCGGCCCUAGUUCAUCUGAAAUGGUAAGCAAACAGUACCUUGAUUUUUUAUGGAUUCGGAAAGGAGCCAUGGCUUCCCUAGAGCUUAGUGUUCCACCGUUGCCAUAAGAAUGCAGUUCCGAACCAGACCACCGCUGUCCAUUCCGUUGCUGAGUUGAAGGCCACAGCCAAGCUUUCAGAGAAAGUCUCCCAAUAGCCACUUUGAUCUUCUCUUUCUUUCACAGUGCAUCUUUAAUAACCCAUCAGCAGAGGUGGCCCUAGGUCAUCCGAAAUGCUCAACAACAGAUAUCAAGAUCGAAGAUCUGGAAUGAAGAACCCCUGGGACAGCUGGCUCCAUAGUGUGUCCAUCGCUCCACCCAGGAUUCAUAGGACUCCUCUGGAACGGGGCCCCUCACUCCUUAUAAUUCUCUGGCCUUUUACUUACGUUCCUUACCCAAGUCACUGGCUUUAUAUGAAAGAAAAAAGAAGGAAGGACUGGGCAGCGGGACUGGGUAGCAGAGGCAGCCAGAAGAGAAGUUUUGUGACCGUCGCAGGACUGCCACCGUCUCACACACCAUCACAGUGGGAGAAGCUUUGGAAAUAAGUCCAAGGAAUGAGGAAAAGUUCAAAAUAUGCAGGAUGUCAGUCAACAACUAAAAUACAAGCUGGAAGACCAGCUAAUAUUGAAGUUCAAGCUCUGGGGUAGAGGAGGAAAACCGGGAACAACCCCUUAGAAGCCAUUGUGUCCUGGUGCAGUGAAAUAUGUCCGGACAUCUCAAUAUCACAAGACAACAUUGGGAGAAAUGGAAAGGUUGCACCUCCUCAUUUCCCAAGAACUCUGUAAAAGACUGAAUUUUAAGAUUUGCAAGAUUCUCAGUGAAAAUACAAAUCCACCGAAUUUUGGCUAAAAAUCAAAACCAGACUCACAGGGGGAAAGCUUUUGAGAUCUACCAGGAUUUGGUGCCUUUCCCGUUGAAAAAGAAAAUGGAAGCUGAAACUCACUCAAAUCUGUUGCAUGGCAGGAGGGAUCUUAUUUUUCUAUCCCACUGCUGCCACCAAUUAAUACGUAGAGCACUCGAAACACACUUUAAUUUGUGUUUCUCAUUACCACAAAUCUGUCUUUGGCUCCACUAGAUCUUCAGCUUCUUCUCUUUCAUAUAGAAAAUCUUCCUUUUAAUAAGUAGCCAUGACCACUCAGUAUUUAAACUGAACAGAAACAUUUAUUUGGAGAUUUCUCAAGUUCACAUAUGCUUGGGGGCAGGCCCGUA